RNAcentral lists this non-coding RNA (88 nucleotides) under Pseudomonas sp. SJZ077. Lineage: Bacteria; Pseudomonadati; Pseudomonadota; Gammaproteobacteria; Pseudomonadales; Pseudomonadaceae. RNAcentral also lists the same sequence under 1 other name. The record is from RNAcentral.
UGUUAUGGCGGCUGUGCGCGGGAGACCUUCGGGUCUGCCGGUUUUGAUGGGAUAUCGGUUUUCCAAACCGCGCAUGGCUGCCACCCCU